ACGAUAGUGCAAACAGUACUAAUCCUUUGGCUUGGGUGACUUCAACAAAUAUGAAUGAGAAUCAAAUGGAAUGUUGCUCUUCUUCACUCUCCCUGCGGGUGUCUGUCUUCAUAGUGCUAAAAAGCAGAGUCAGCAUUCAAGAAGAAAUUCAUGAAUGCGCUAUGAGUGCCACUGCCAUGCAUGUUUUUGUCUCAUGAAAUUUUAAUUUGCACAAAUUGGGAAACUUCGUAUGGUGCAGCAUAAUCGGAAAACACUUUACCGGGCAUUUAUCAUGGAGAAAGCUCUUCCUAAUGAAGUCCUAAGACCUGUCUCUUACUGGGCGAUAUUUGGUGUAUUGAUCUUUCUUUGUUGAACUUUGUUUGUUCUUGGAUUUUUGGGGCAUUUUCUACACCCUUGUCUUCAAUGAAUUGUUUGACUUGACUUUU
Prunus avium (sweet cherry) is the source of this 425-nucleotide non-coding RNA. NCBI's taxonomy places the organism in Eukaryota, Viridiplantae, Streptophyta, Magnoliopsida, Rosales, Rosaceae. The record is from RefSeq and is a predicted model, not a curated record.